CCUACGGGUGGCUGCAGUGGGGAAUAUUGGACAAUGGGCGAAAGCCUGAUCCAGCCAUGCCGCGUGUGUGAAGAAGGCCUUCGGGUUGUAAAGCACUUUCAGUGGGGAAGAAAGCCUUGGGGCUAAUACCCUCGAGGAAGGACAUCACCCACAGAAGAAGCACCGGCUAACUCCGUGCCAGCAGCCGCGGUAAUACGGAGGGUGCGAGCGUUAAUCGGAAUUACUGGGCGUAAAGCGCGCGUAGGCGGUCUGAUAAGCCGGUUGUGAAAGCCCCGGGCUCAACCUGGGAACGGCAUCCGGAACUGUCAGGCUAGAGUGCCGGAGAGGAAGGUAGAAUUCCCGGUGUAGCGGGGAAAUGCGUAGAGAUCGGGAGGAAUACCAGUGGCGAAGGCGGCCUUCUGGACUGACACUGACGCUGAGGUGCGAAAGCGUGGGUAGCAAACAGGAUUAGAUACCCCGGUAGUC
This 465-nucleotide ribosomal RNA is filed under the name Vreelandella stevensii. RNAcentral's name for it is "partial 16S ribosomal RNA". It matches the Rfam family "Bacterial small subunit ribosomal RNA", at positions 338 to 795 of the family's 1533-position model. Lineage: Bacteria; Pseudomonadati; Pseudomonadota; Gammaproteobacteria; Oceanospirillales; Halomonadaceae. The record is from RNAcentral.